RNAcentral lists this small nuclear RNA (107 nucleotides) under Prolemur simus (greater bamboo lemur). The record is from RNAcentral. Lineage: Eukaryota; Metazoa; Chordata; Mammalia; Primates; Lemuridae.
GUGCUUGCUUUGGCAGCACGUAUACUAAAAUUGGAAUGAUACAGAGAAGACUAGCGUGGCCCCUGUGCAAGGAUGACAUGCAAAUUCGUGAAGCAUUCCAUAUUUUU